RNAcentral lists this ribosomal RNA (711 nucleotides) under Clostridiales bacterium T55CA4. RNAcentral's name for it is "bacterial SSU rRNA". It matches the Rfam family "Bacterial small subunit ribosomal RNA", at positions 55 to 784 of the family's 1533-position model. Lineage: Bacteria; Bacillati; Bacillota; Clostridia; Eubacteriales. The record is from RNAcentral.
AGUGCAGUCGAGCGAGAAAGUUCUUCGGAGCUUUUCUAGCGGCGGACGGGUGAGUAACACGUGGGCAACCUGCCUCAUAGAGGGGAAUAGCCUUCCGAAAGGAAGAUUAAUACCGCAUAACAUUGUUGAAAGGCAUCUUUUAACAAUCAAAGGAGCAAUCCGCUAUGAGAUGGGCCCGCGGCGCAUUAGCUAGUUGGUGAGGUAACGGCUCACCAAGGCGACGAUGCGUAGCCGACCUGAGAGGGUGAUCGGCCACAUUGGAACUGAGACACGGUCCAGACUCCUACGGGAGGCAGCAGUGGGGAAUAUUGCACAAUGGGGGAAACCCUGAUGCAGCAACGCCGCGUGAGUGAUGAAGGUCUUCGGAUUGUAAAGCUCUGUCUUUAGGGACGAUAAUGACGGUACCUAAGGAGGAAGCCACGGCUAACUACGUGCCAGCAGCCGCGGUAAUACGUAGGUGGCAAGCGUUAUCCGGAUUUACUGGGCGUAAAGGGAGCGUAGGCGGAUAUUUAAGUGGGAUGUGAAAUACCCGAGCUUAACUUGGGAGCUGCAUUCCAAACUGGAUAUCUAGAGUGCAGGAGAGGAGAAUGGAAUUCCUAGUGUAGCGGUGAAAUGCGUAGAGAUUAGGAAGAACACCAGUGGCGAAGGCGAUUCUCUGGACUGUAACUGACGCUGAGGCUCGAAAGCGUGGGGAGCAAACAGGAUUAGAUA